GUUGACAGCACGCGCCCACGCCUUAUCAACAAAGUUCUUCUGACUCUCUAAAUUUCUCCAAGAGAACAAUCAUAUUUAAACAUCAUCUUAUAGCUCAAUUUUAUCACGAAUCAAUAGAAUUGCACCUACAAAAGUAAAACACAAGUAAAUCAUUAUUAUUAAGUACAAAAUAUCGAUAUUAAGAGAAGUAAACAAUGCAAAACUAGUGCAUAAAUUACACUCUAACAAGGGUACCUUCUGGAGGGCAUAACUUGGGCUAUAGUUGGCCGUCCAUUUCAAAGCUUACAAUGAGGUCAAUCUAAUUAAGAACCCCUUGCACUAUUCUGCCCUAUGGUUUAGCAAAAAAUUCCGCUUCAUUACUGGUCAUUUUUUAAUUUUAAAAUUUUCCCUAUUUUUCCUUUUUCUUUAAUGAUUUGUAUCCUUUUUUUAGAUUUUGGAUUUGGGUGCCAUUUGUUUUGCUUUUCCUAUUUAGAUUGGGAGAACGUUAUUAUAAAAUAAUAGUUCAAAUUUGCCUAUUUUGAUAAAUUCACGAUAUUUAGGGUUAUUAUAUAUAAAGGCCCCAAAACCCUAGUUUGAUAAUUUAGACUUAUUCAAUAAAACUUCAUUAUUUAGAAACUUUUGUUUAAUCUAUCUUUCAAUCUUUAACAUUUCUGUUUCAUUAGUUGGUAUCAGAGCAAGUUUGCUUGUCAUAUGGUACGGUCACAUGAACAAAGGAGCAACUAUCUUGAAGACAAUAAUCAAGGGAUGCGGGCACAAACUGUGGAGGCUGUCAGAUAGGUAGCUAGAGAAGCAACCUUGCAAGUGACUAAGAAUGCUUAUAAUUUGAGAUCAGUGGUGAUAGAGUAGGCAAUUGAGAGUUUUAGGCCCUCAUUGAAUGAAAAUAGGGAGAGAGAGUGAGAGAGAGACAAAGAAAGAGUUCAACAACAAGGAGUUAAUCGUGAGGAAGAACUUUAAGUAGUCAAUCAUAGUGAACAACUAGAAAAUUAUAACCACAUGGAGGUAUCUUAGGGGGUCAAUCAUGAAAUAGAACCUCAAGGCAUUAAUUCUGCUUGAUGUAUGCCAGUGGGUAUGGGUGAAGAAUUAGAAAACAAUUUAAAAGAAGAAGAAUCUGUGGAGGAUUAUAACAAGUGUAAAAGGAAUUCAGACUACAAGAUUAAUGUUGAUAUUCCAAAUUUUUAUGGUGGGAUGCAUGUCGAAGAAUUUUUAGACUAGAUAUCAAUUAUGGGUAGUUUUUUUGAGUAUAUGGAGAUUCCUAAAGAUAAACGAGUUUAAGCUUGUGUGUUUAAAUUAAAAGGCGCAACUUUUGCAUGGUAUCAACAUGCGUAGAUUCGAAAAAGAGUUGCGGGAAAACAAUUUAUCAAAUCAUGGUCUAGAGUAUAGAGGAUGAUGUAAGAGUAUUUCCUGCUAGCAAAUUACUGGUAAUAGUUGUAUUUCAAAUAUCAGAACUGCAAGCGUACGAGAAAUAAUUUAGAGAAGCCAGAACUUUGAUUGGUGGAUUGAAGCAAGAGAUACAAGAUGAGGGAGUGGAUACGAUUUGGGACUUAGGUUCUGUUGAUGCGUAUUGGUAUAGGUGUCAAUAUGCAAGUGUACACAAUAAGUAAUAUAAUGAUGAGUAUUCAUAUCAUCUCCAUAAGGAUUAAUGUUAUAGGACUUGCUACAACAAUCUUAACAGUGCAAUCUAAGUCUAAUUAAAAAUAAAAUUAUUGAUGUAAUUAACAACCUAACAAAAUAAAAAAAAUGCAAUAAAUGAAAUCUUAGGUCAAAUACAAAGAUAUAAUCAAUGGGAAAUGAGUAGUAGAGUACUUAAACUCACUUAAUGAUAUUGACUUUUUUUUAAUUAUGGUAUUGUUGCUAUAGCAUCUACUACAGCACUGGGCACAAUCCCUCAAGCAUCCUCAGCUGUCGCAUGUUGGAUAUCUUAUAUUUACAUGCAACCUAAUAGUGACCAGUUGUUAUGCUAACAUUAGACAUUAGAUACAACAUUAUACGUAAUAGAUUCCAAUUGUCCUACAAGGUGAAUCCAUAUGUCUAGUUCUUCACUAAUCUUAGAUCAAACAUGGCCCCAUUCAAAUCAAGAUUAACUCAACUUGGGAAACUUAUUCUAAAACCAUGUAUUGUAUUAAUUUGUUCCACUAAGCCAAACCUUUUGAAACUUCUUCUUAGCUAGUAUCCACUAAAUGAGUGGUCAACUGAAAUAAGGAUUUGCGAUAAGUAAAAUCAAGACAAAAAUGCUACAGUAGAUUCUAAGCAACACAUAUAUAAGUCAAAUAAUCAUUGAGCUUGUUUAACACCCAACUGCAUUAAAGUUUAGUUCAUGAUAUGUGACAAAACAGUAACCAUACUCGUUUAUCAAAUAUAUUCCCACAAAGAGAUGAAAACAAGAAAAUAAAGAUGAAGAAUUGAGUUCCACUAGGUCUUUGCGAUCUCUCCUUCCUUUUCUCUCAAAUCCCUUGCUGGAGCCCUCAACUCUCUUAUAUUCUCUUUUUUAUUUUGUUUUCUCUGUUAUUUUUCUUGACUGAGGGCUCUCUCUUGUUUCUUUCCAUCUAUACUAUUUUUAUAUCUUGGAAUCAAUAGUGAAGAAGAUGAGUUGUUACUGAAAUUUACUUAACAUUUGCCUGGCGAAGCAGUGCAGUUUAUCAUUAGAGUUUGAGAAGUUGAUAAAUUUAGAUACUGAGAAAAAAGUUUGAAUUUCCGUUCGUUUUCAGUCUUGAGCUUUAUACUAAAAACGUUAGGUUUUGACAUUUAAAUAGGAAAAUCAUAGAUAAAUUAAAUGUUAGCCUUAUAAUUUUUUAAAUGCAGUGAGUUGAACUUCUCUACUUUUAUUUUUUUUUUCAAAAAAAUUAAUAAACACCGGCUUUGAGGGGCCGCUUUUUUAAAAAAAAAUUCAGAUCAAGAAAAAUUAUAUUAGAGACGGAUCCAAAUCCAUUAUUAGACUAUAGUAUAAUUGUGCGAACUACGUGGGAUCACUGAAUUCCGUGGCAGACCGGUCAUGAUCAACUAAGGGUCCGUUUGGGGCAGCUGCUCUCCACCCUAUAUUCUAGGGAAUAUUCACCUGGAAUAAAGCAUCCACAGCGCAACUGUCCCAAACGUUCGCUAAAAAUAGUAGAUAAAAAGUAGAUAACAGAGGAAAAAUGUUUUUUGACUCGAUGAAAAGUUUGUCGGCAGUAAUUCAUGAUUAUCAAACUAAUAUGUUCGUGAUGGCAGAUUUUUGAGAAAAUUUUUUUUUAUUUUAUCAAAUAACCUUAUAAUCUUUACAGGGAAUGAGAUCAGAAAAGAAAAAAAAACAGAAAUUACCUUUUUUUUUUCAUUUAUAAAUGGCAAAAGGUGAAAAGAUAUUACAACACUUUGAGAUAUGUCAUUUUUAUACUUGAAGUUUCAAGAAAUUCUAUUUUGCAUAUUGUGCUAAAUCUGUCAUAAAAUUUAUACGAGAAGACGAUUUUUGCCAUUCUAAUUUAAUUUAACAUUAUAAUGCAAUUCAACACUUUGAAAUCUACCAUUUUUAUUCUUGAAGUUUCAAGAAAUUCCAUUUUACACAUUGCCCUUAAAUCUAUUAUUAAAUGUGUAGGAAAAGACAGAUUAUGCUGUUGUAAUUUAAUUUAACACGAUGAUGCAUCACAUUCAAGGCAACCACCAUUUUCCUACGUAGUCCCAUAUAAAUUUUAAAUGCUUCAUUUGGUGUUCGGUGCUUUAUAAUAGAUUAAUGUAAGAUAUACUCAAACUUCACUUUUAUUUAAAUUUUUUUAUUUUUAUAUAAUUAAAUUAAAAUUAUAAAUAAAAAAUAUAUCAGUUAUUUAGAAAAAAAAAAAAAGGACCUUAGAGAACCCUUGUUAUUAUUCGGGAAGGAGAAGAGAAUUCCCUUAAACAAUUCUGAUUGGAAUGAGAAUAUAGACAUAUACAAAAUAGCAGGGAUGGAUACGAGGAGGUGGGUCCCCUCCUCUCCCCAUUGUUAUCCCUGGACAUGUUCUAAUUUUUUAUAUACAGCUGUCGUUCGUGACCGAUGGUAAUUAAGAUUAAAAUAAUUUAUCUUACAUUAGAUACGGAUCAAAUGUAGCCAGAAUGCCAAAAUGAUGAUUAAUUAAUUAACGUUUGAUGACACCAUCCUACAAAUGAUGAUAAAUUAUUAUCUGUUUUAAAGGAAAGUAAUAAUUUUUGUUUGGGGAAACUCUGGGUGGUAAAGGGGGCCAAUAAUUCAGUGACACGAGAUGAAUAAAGUCAGCUAAGUGAAGUCAAUUCGUUUGACCAAAUGACAAUCUCAAAGGUUAGAAGAUAAGCCCCAUCAGGAAAAACAAUAGUUCUAGUAAAUAUAAAUAAAAAAUUUCUUGAGCAAAGCAAUAGGAGGGACCAUGUCGGUUGUUUUUUGCUAUCCUCUACAAAGUAGCAGGAUCAUUGCUCGAGCUUCCUCCACAUGGCAAAAAGUGAGGACCACAAGAGGGAUAAAGGAAUUUGUUGCUCGCCAAGCUUACUUGGUCAAUACCAAGUGAACAAAAGAAAAUGACAAAAAUAGCCCCACUUAAGAAAGGCAGCACCAAUAGAAAAUAUCCAUGUGGCAAAAAUGAUGAAAAUGCGCCUAAGGCACCUGUACUAUAAAUUCAGCUCAAGACACAAGACAAAUGGAUUAUUUCAGAUCUGAUUUCUUGCUUGAAAGACUGCUUUAUCUUCUUCUUCUUUCUCUAUUUUUACACCUCCAUGGAAGAUUUUGGCCAUCUCAUCUCUCAUGGAAGAUUUUUCCUUUUUCUUUUCUUAAAAACUCCCUAAUCUCCAUAAAAUAUACAUCAUCUUCAUCUUAUUACUCAAUAUAAACAACAUUUAAUAAGGUUUUGUUGAUAUUGCAAAGUAAAUCAUGUAAUACUUCAUAUACAUAGUGGAUUGGAGAUGAUUACUCCUGCAAAUGUAGGACAAAGGGUCGAACCAAAUAAAAGCUUGUAUGUUCUUUAUUAUUUAUACUUAUUUUUUGCUUAUUAUGUCCAUAGAUAAGCUUUCUAGAUCUAUCCUAGAAUUCACCAAAGUCAUCCCCUGAGCUCUUUUAAGGUCUUCAUGUUAAAUCUCAAAAUUAACUCUCACGAUCUUUAGUAAGUUCUCUAUAUCAGUUCACCUCCCAAAUCACCUUAGUUCACCUUUCAAAUUAUCUCAUAACAAGCCUAUAAAGAUAGGGUGACCCUAAGUUACGUUAAGUGUAUCUUAUGUUUUCUGUCUUUUUCUUCUGGCAAUUUUCAUACAAGUCCUUAUUUUUAUUACUUUUAUAUUUAAGGAUGCAUUUGCCUUCUUCUAUCACUUAUACACCUAUUUUUCAUUCUUUCUAAUGUUUUCUUUAUUUCUUUAAACAACAAUGUAUGGUUAUCAAAUUUAUAUAAAUCUGUAAAUUCAGAAUAAAUUUCUAGUCCUAAAUUUAUUAUUCCCAUUCUUUCUUGUUCUAACAGUUCUAUUUUUUGGGUUAUUUGAUUUAUAUAGCUUGUUAUAAUAUUUUCCUAGCCUAGAUUCAUGUGAUCUAUAGUUUCUGCUAAAUUAUGUAUCACAUUAAAAGCAUGUUGGUUCAUGGUAGUGCUUCUUUUUUGUACUAGUAUACUAAAAACUUUAUAAAUUCAUCUAUGAAUUUCAUUUUCUUUUCUAUUAAAAUCUCACCUCCUACAGUAUCUAUAUUUCUUUCUUGUAAUUCUUGAGUUAAUUCAAGCUCGAUAUUUCGGAUGUUAUUCUUCUCAGAUUUUAUAGACAUUAUUAAAUUUUUUAUUUCUUCUUUCUCAAAUACUUUUAAAGUAUAUAAACUCUCUAUUAUAUUUUUUAUAGGAUCCAUGGCUCUGAUACCAUUUUAUGGGUAGAUAAAAAAAAACCAAAAAACACAAUAAAAUAAAUAAAUUAAAAAACAAAAAGAAAACAAAAACCAAUUAAGUCAACAAAAUUAAACAAAACAAAUAAAUAAAUAAUAUUAAGUAGUUGAAUCAAACUAUUCGGAUAAUAGAAUUUUGAUGCAAAAAUUCUAAAAGAUAUAUCUAUUUUAUGUCUUUAUUAUUAUUAUUAUUCAUCUAAAAGAAUAUAUCUAUCAUAUCUUAUAUUAUCAUUAUUUCUUAAAUAUAAGGCUAUAACUUCUUCCCCAUUAAUUAUACUAGGUAUAUUUCCGGGAAAACUAGGAACAUAAAAAUCAUAAUAAUUAUUAUGAGUUUCUAUAAUAUAUGUAGGGUUAUUAAUCUGAUUUAAAAUUUCUAAAUUAUAAGAUAUGUAAGAUAUGUUUACUGGAUAACAGAAUAUUUCUAAUUUUAUGAAAUAUAUAUUAUUAUUUAUUAUAUUAGUAUAAUAUCUUGUUUCCCUGUAUGUGUUCAUGAUUACAGAAUAUUAUACCGACUUAAGGUCUUAUAUUUCUAGUUCUUCAUUAUCUGAAUUAUCUAUAUAUUCUAUGUAUGAGGGGUCUAUUCUUAAACUUUCAUUUUCUAUUUUAGCUUUAAUUAUAUCAAUAGUUUCAUCUAUAGUUAACAUUGUGAUUAAGUGUUUUAGAUUAUCUAUUUCUAAAAUGUUUAAAAUUCUUCGUUUUAUUUCUGGUGGUAAUUCUAGUGUAUAUAUAGCUUCUAUCUCUUCUUUACUAAUAAGUUCUUCUUUGCUAAAUAUGUAUGAACUUUACUUAAAAGAUUCAAGAUUAAAAUCUAUUAUCAUCAUGUAGUUAUUAUAUGUUAUCCUAGUUGUAGGAUUUAUCAUUUUUUCUUUUGGAUUUCCACGUCCUAAUCUAACACUCAUAUUUUGAUAAACACUCAUUUUCCUUAUUUUUAACAAUUUUGAUUAAUGAUUUGAAUAAGAUUCACUUCUGAGAGAUGCUCAUCCACCAUCAAUCUCUUCAUCUACAAUCAUUACCAAACUUCCACCAUGAGAUAAGGUUAGAGAAUUAUUACCUAAGUUAUCCUUUUUUCUUCGUCUUAAGAUCUGUCUCCAGUGACCUGCAGCCUAUGCGUCCUUCAUUCCCUCAACGGCCUCCUGCCUUAACGGGAUCAAGCGGACUCCAAUGGCCUUUCUGUAUGGAUCUUGAUCUUCUUUCUUAGAAAUAAAGAUAAUUUUAGGUUUCUCUUUCCUUUCUAUGGGGUUGUUUGUUUUCCUUUCUAUGGGAUAAUUUUAGGUUUCUCUUUCCUUUCUAUGGGGUUGUUUGUUUAUGAUUGAUGAUGUAUUGAUUUCUGGUUUCGAGCUUAAGAGAAUUUAGCUAUUCAUUUUUCAGAGAGUUGUUUCCUCCAAAAAAAAUAUUGCCAAAGUGAAGUAUGGUGUGUAAUCUGAGCCUCUUGCUCUUUCCUCUUUCUUUUUAUUUCAAAACUUUUGUUUCGAGAUUACAUUCUUGCCCUUUUGGCUUUUUUCAAUUAGUACAAAUGCU
Molecule: long non-coding RNA, 7339 nt
Filed under: Citrus sinensis (sweet orange)
Lineage: Eukaryota; Viridiplantae; Streptophyta; Magnoliopsida; Sapindales; Rutaceae
Description: long non-coding RNA (CSIN_LNC001057)
Source: RNAcentral